RNAcentral lists this ribosomal RNA (257 nucleotides) under uncultured bacterium. RNAcentral describes it as "partial 16S ribosomal RNA". It matches the Rfam family "Bacterial small subunit ribosomal RNA", at positions 524 to 776 of the family's 1533-position model. The record is from RNAcentral.
UACGGAGGGUGCGAGCGUUGUCCGGAAUCAUUGGGCGUAAAGGGCGCGUAGGUGGCCCGGUCAGUCUUUGGUGAAAGCGCGGGGCUCAACCCUGCGUCGGCCAGGGAUACUGCCGCGGCUCGAGCACUGUAGAGGCAGGCGGAAUUCCGGGUGGUAGCGGUGGAAUGCGUAGAGAUCCGGAAGAACACCGGUGGCGAAGGCGGCCUGCUGGGCAGUUUAGCUGACACUGAGGCGCGACAGCGUGGGGAGCAAACAGG